CCUACGGGAGGCAGCAGUGAGGAAUAUUGGACAAUGGGCGCAAGCCUGAUCCAGCCAUGCCGCGUGCAGGAUGACGGUCCUAUGGAUUGUAAACUGCUUUUAUACAGGAAGAAACACCUCUACGUGUAGAGACUUGACGGUACUGUAAGAAUAAGGAUCGGCUAACUCCGUGCCAGCAGCCGCGGUAAUACGGAGGAUCCAAGCGUUAUCCGGAAUCAUUGGGUUUAAAGGGUCCGUAGGCGGUUUAGUAAGUCAGUGGUGAAAGCCCAUCGCUCAACGGUGGAACGGCCAUUGAUACUGCUAGACUUGAAUUAUUAGGAAGUAACUAGAAUAUGUAGUGUAGCGGUGAAAUGCUUAGAGAUUACAUGGAAUACCAAUUGCGAAGGCAGGUUACUACUAAUUGAUUGACGCUGAUGGACGAAAGCGUGGGUAGCGAACAGGAUUAGAUACCCUGGUAGUCCACGCCGUAAACGAUGGAUACUAGCUGUUGGGAGCAAUCUCAGUGGCUAAGCGAAAGUGAUAAGUAUCCACCUGGGGAGUACGAACGCAAGUUUGAAACUCAAAGGAUUGACGG
RNAcentral lists this ribosomal RNA (574 nucleotides) under uncultured bacterium. RNAcentral describes it as "bacterial SSU rRNA". It matches the Rfam family "Bacterial small subunit ribosomal RNA", at positions 338 to 916 of the family's 1533-position model. The record is from RNAcentral.